RNAcentral lists this long non-coding RNA (2833 nucleotides) under Cercocebus atys (sooty mangabey). RNAcentral describes it as "lncRNA (ENSCATG00000045522.1)". Lineage: Eukaryota; Metazoa; Chordata; Mammalia; Primates; Cercopithecidae. The record is from RNAcentral.
AGAAGAAGAUACAGAAAAUGAAAAUAAAAUUUGGUACUAUAGCACAAAGGUCCAGCUUGCAGAAUUAAUUGACUGUCUAGAGAAAGAUUAUUGGGAAGCAGAACUCUGCAAAAUUCUGGAAGAAAUGCGUGAAGAAAUCCACCGACACAUGGACAUAACCGAAGACCUGACUGAUAAGGUUCAGGGCAGUAACAAAUCCUUUCUGGCGGCAGCUAAUGAACCUAACAAGACAUGUGAGAGCAGUAACACUAGUGCUACCACUACCUCCAUGCGGCCUGAUCUGGAAUACAGUAACAGCAGUGAACUAAAUUCUUCCCAGAGUGAAUCUGCUAAGGCAGCUGAUGAUCCUGAAAAUGAAGAAAGAGAAUCUCAUACACCUGUCUCUAUUCAGGAAGAGAUAGUAGGUGAUUUCAAAUCGGAGAAGUCCAGGCGGGAGCUAAGUGAAUCUCCUGGAGCUGGAAAAGGAGCAUCUGGCUCAACUCGAAUCAUCACCAGAUUAUGGAAUCCAGAUAGCAAACUUAGUCAACUGAAGAGCCAGCAGGUGGCAGCCGCUGCCCAUGAAGGAAGUAAAUUAUUUAAGGAGGACAAAGAGGUUCACGUGAAUGAAAGAACAAGGCUGCUUCUCCCAGACUGACUGACCUUGGCAUCCGCAUAAAGCAUCAUUGUUUUCAAAAAUGAAGGGUGCUUAAUUGUUCCCUUUUUUCUAUAUUCUGUAGGUCUCACAACAACAAACUGCAGUCUACAGCUUCUUAAAGUUUAACAUAAAAUGCAGCAAGAAUCUGGUUGUCUGAACUAUUUUAAAUUAAGGAGCCAGAUGUUUUUAGUCGAGAUUUGACCUAAACUUUGUUUUUAUUGGUCAUAAUAAUCCAAUUAUAUUGUUGGCCAAUUUUGUCCAAUGGACAAGAAAAAAGCAAAGUCAACGGCAGCAUUAUCUUGUCAGGAUCAAAUGGUUUUACUAUUGUGGCAGAAGCUAGAAAACUCUGCUUAUUAAAAAAAAGAAAAAGAAAGCAAGAAAAAAAGAUACUAUGGGGUCAAGUGCAACUCCAUGGAAAUGCUACAUCUGCUCUUCCGUGAAGAAGCUGGUUUAGAGUCUCAAAGACAGCUUUUGACUGUGUAUAUUUAUUGUCGCAAAAAAGACACGUUUUUAUUGCUGCCUUCAUUUGUCAGCUAAUUAUUUUCUCUUAUAAAAUCCAGCCUGGUUACGUAUAAUCCUUCUGUAUCUUAUCAUGAUUCCUGUACGUAAAAGUACAAGACGACCUCUAGAUGUCUUUUCUUUCUAUGAAAGGAGCUGCUAUGUACACAUGUGCACACACACACAACUGGGAAUCAACAAUGAGUUUAUUGUUCCUGGUAGAUAAAAAUUAAGCUUACAUAAAGAUUGGGCUAAGUGGUCCUGGACUGCAGACUCUGUUGCCUUGAAUAUAACAGUACAAUUUGUCAAUUACAAUGCACCAGGUUAAAAUGAGUAAAAUCUGUUUGAAGGUAUCUUGUUUGUAAACAUUUGUCAGAUUAUAAUUUUUUCUUUGGUAUUAAAAUUCAACUAUGGAUGUAUAUGAAGCAAAAUAAAUAGAGAUAAUUUUUCUCCCACAGACAGAAGUGUCUUUGAAUGUGCGCUAAUUAUUAUCUGUAAGCCUCUGUGGGGAGGGACGGCUGCAAAGUUAUGAAGGCAGAAUAAUCUAAUUGUGCCUGGAUUUCUCCAGGACAGCAGUGGCUCCUCGUUUUAUCAUCCCAGUCAAUUGUCAUCAUAUCAGAGAAAAAUCUUCAGGGGGGCUAAUCCUGUUGCAUCAGUUGAUCAUACUAACGAAAAGGGUGAUGUGACAAGAUACACAUUGCCUUCAUCUCUACAUUCUGUGAUACCGGGCAAAUUACCAAGAAUUCUACAUUUUAAUGAAUAAUAAAAUUAUUCUGCAUCUCGUUCAGGCGCUGUGGCUCAUGCCUGUAAUCCCAGCACUUUGGGAGGCCGAGGCGGGUGAUUCACGAGGUCAGGAGAUCCAGGCCAUCCUGGCUAACAAGGUGAAACCCCGUGUCUACUAAAAAUACAAAAAAAAUUAGCCGGCAGUGGUGGCUUGUAGUCCUAGCUACUUGGGAGGCUGAGGCAGGAGAAUGGCGUGAACCCGGGAGGUGGAGCUUGCAGUGAGCCGAGAUGGUGCCACUACACUGCACUCCAACCUGGGUGACAGAGCAAGACUCCGUCUCAAAAAAAAAAAAAAAAAAAAAAAAAAAAAAUUACUCUGCAUCUCAUCAUGUCAUAGUAUUUCUGUGCUAUUUAUUUAUUUAUUUAGCAACGGAGUCUCGCUCUGUUGGCCAGGCUGAAGUGCAGUGACGCGAUCUCGGCUCACUGCAAUCCAUCAUAUGUAUUCACUAAUUUAAUCUUCACAACAACUCUAAGGGGUGGGAACUAUGUUUUUGCCCCAUUUUACAGAUAUGAAAUGAGAAGCUGUGUUGAAGGUGUUUUCUGCGGUUGAUUUAAAUAGAAUUAAUAAACUCCGAGAAAAUAUUCUUUUUUUUUUUUUUUUUUGAGACAAAGUUUCACUCUUGUUGCCCAGGCUGGAGUACAAUGGCUAUCUCUGCUCACUACAAACUCUGCCUCCCGGGUUCAAGUGAUUCUCCUGCCUCAGCCUCCUGAGUUGCAGGGAUUACAAGCAUGGGCCACCACGCCCAGCUAAUUUUUUUGGAUUUUUAGUAGAGACGGGGUUUUUCCAUGUUGGUUAGGUUGGUCUUGAACUCCCAACCUCAGGUGAUCCGCCCGCCUCGGACUCCCAAAGUGUUGGGAUUACAGGUGUGAGCCACCGAGACCGGCCAGAGAAAAGAUUAUUAAUUGAUGAAGGUUUUC